GCAAAACAAAAGGAACACCUGACACGAAUCCCUAUGGUUGACAGCCAUAUUCUCUGAGAAUUCCAAUGAGUUAGGGAGGAAGCAGCCUGCAAAUGAAUUACAGCUGAUAGUUGUUUGCUUCUUCACAACAACUUGCUGACCCAGAGACAUCAUUCUCC
Long non-coding RNA from Lepidothrix coronata (blue-crowned manakin), 158 nucleotides. RefSeq lists it as uncharacterized. NCBI's taxonomy places the organism in Eukaryota, Metazoa, Chordata, Aves, Passeriformes, Pipridae. The transcript is spliced from 3 exons. The record is from RefSeq and is a predicted model, not a curated record.